CCGUGCCCGUCCUCUUUCUCCUCCAUCCCCGUUCCCUCAUCUAACCCUAAAUCUCGCCCCAACCGUCUCUUUCCUCCCCGCGCCGCCUGCCCCGGAUCUGGAGGAAGAGGAGGGAGGCAGGAUCUGGAGGAGGAAGAGGAGAUCCGGGCGUCCCGACGGUGGCUCGACCGAUGCGAGGUGACGACGAGCUAAUGAGUGCCUCUUCGACUCCUUCCUCCGUCCUCGCCGCUGCCGCCGCUCCGACUCCUCUCUCCGUGCUCACCACCGCUGCCGCCUCUAUUUACGUCCUGCGGGAUGACGCCGCAGCUCCGUCUGACCGACCCUCAUGGAGGCGGUGCUGCCGGCCAUCGUUCUCAACCUGAGCUUGCCGCCCCCCUGCUUCUGGUGACUAGCAGCUAAAGGAAGGAGAGGGGAGCUCGACGGACUGCGUCUCAUACAGACCCACACACCCCCUGACUUCGACAAGACCAGCAUUAUAGUAUUGACCCCUCGUCCGCCCCGGGUGCGGAGGCGAGCUUCCCGGCGACGGUGGCACUGGCUUGAGGCGGGGGAGCGGCUGAUGCAGGGUUGGAUCGAGGCAUGGGAGCGACGGAUGCGGGCGUCUACCUGCGAAGAGGCGAGAGGAGCGGUGGUUGCGGCGUUGAGCUGCGAAGAGGUGCCGCUCGGGCGCGAGACCACAGAGGCGGGAGCGGCUGCUUCGGGCCCCGGCCGUCUCAUUCACCGAUGACGGCCUCCUCGGCCUCAACAUCAAGGGCCGCCUUCUCGCAGAGAAGAACUUCAAGCUGAAGAGGAAGAGCGGCGCCGUCGAGUUCGCCUAGACCAUACUCGACUUCAGAAAGGGCCAAGACGUCAGGAUCAAGGCCGGAUACGAGCUCUAUCGCAAGGUACAAAGCUGAAAUGCUUGAUGAUGCGCCUCGUAUAUUCGAGGCUGUUUUCCAGUGUACCCUUGAGGUAGGAAUUACAACCUUGUUUGAUUGUUCGGUCUGGCCAGAUGAUUACUAAAAAUUUCGAAGAUUAUCCUAAGCCCGCCUCAAGUUUUUUUUUCUUUACUUCAUGCUAUUGGCACCCAUUGCUUCAAAGCUUUAAUUCAGCUUUCCAGACAGGUUUAUGAUGACUUUUUUAAUUGCUACUAUCAGCUCCUUCGAUGUUAUCUAUUAAUACAGAAACCCAAAUUACUUCUCUUGAAUUUGAUCAUUGGACUAUUUGUUUCAGCAAUUGAAGCUUGUGAUGUAUUCGAUUAACUAAGUAUGCUUCCUGCUAUUUUUUUACACUAUUGUUAAUGCCAAACUGUUGUCAUGACUUACUGGUGAAAUUUAGAAGUGAUAUAUUUGCACAUAUAUACGGGUAUUUAACUUAACAUGAUCUGCAUGUUCUGAAUCUGCAG
This is a long non-coding RNA of Triticum aestivum (bread wheat), 1384 nucleotides long. RefSeq lists it as uncharacterized. The transcript has 4 exons. The record is from RefSeq and is a predicted model, not a curated record. Lineage: Eukaryota; Viridiplantae; Streptophyta; Magnoliopsida; Poales; Poaceae.